Molecule: long non-coding RNA, 762 nt
Filed under: Daphnia pulicaria
Lineage: Eukaryota; Metazoa; Arthropoda; Branchiopoda; Diplostraca; Daphniidae
Description: uncharacterized LOC124337806, transcript variant X1
Source: RNAcentral
AACAACAUUUAGCUAAUGGUUCUUAUUGCAUUCUUGACUUCAUGUUUUCAGAAAUUUCAGCUGAUAUUUUUGUGUGACCUGGGUGCUUGUGACAAUAGAGAUCAAAUGGGUCAAUCCAAUAAUGUAAGCUAUGUCUUCCAAAGCUUAAUAGUUUUUUCUUUCAUUUAAUGUUUAUAAUUUUAUUUCAGGUUAACUUCCCUUGUAAAAUCAUAGUAAAUCUUCAAGAUAUUGAUGCCUUCCUCAGAUCCAAUUCUUUGCUGCUAUCUCUUUUGCAGACAACAGUAAAAUAGCUUCAACUCAAGAGGUUGUUGUGACUGCCACUGUUCCAAUUUAGGACAAUGCGACAUUGAUAGAUUUGAGGUUAAUCGCUCACCACCGUUAGAGUUGUUUGCAAACCGAAGAGAGAUUGCUGGGAAUUAAGACUGAUAAUUUGUAUAGAUGAAGAAUGAUGAGACAGAAAUGUCUCAAAUGCUGCGACAAUCAGAAGGUUCACGAGUCUAAGCCGGAAAUCAACUGUGAUAAACGCUCUCGUAAUAACUGUUCCACAACCUUUCGCUCUUUUUCCGGUUUUUCUUAUUAACCAUGGCCGGGUUAUCUCCCUGGUCCAGUAAAUUAAGGAAGUGUCUUACCCUGACUUGAUUGUCUACAGUUUGAACUGAACUGGGCGGUUUGUUUAUUAAAUUUUAUUGUAAUAGUUUUAUAGUUUUUUAUUUAUUUUAUGUGUAAAAUAUUUAAUGUUUUUUCGUAAAAAAUAUAAUUUUA